Molecule: long non-coding RNA, 2517 nt
Organism: Monodelphis domestica (gray short-tailed opossum)
Lineage: Eukaryota; Metazoa; Chordata; Mammalia; Didelphimorphia; Didelphidae
Source: Ensembl
CUAUAGACAGCGGGGUCUGUAGGGAGCAAAGAAUUUCCAUUGUGUUAAAAAGUAAUGCACUACUCUCAAUCUCCUUCGGGGAGCAAAAUGUACCUCCCCUCCCUUUCCCUAAACUUCAAAGAUUUAUUUAUUAUUAUUUUUUUAAAGAUCAGUUAAACCAGAGUGCUGGGUUGGAACCUGUUGGAAAGGUUAAAUGCUGGGGCUCACUGAUAAGGAGUGCAGCGAAAUCUGUCAGUCCAAGGUACUGUAGGGGCUGAGUAUUCCUCCUGCAGGGCGUGCAGGGGGUAAGAAUAGAAAAGGAGAGCCGGGGGCUAAGGGGGCAAAGGGAGGCCUGGCGCUCUUAACAUGCAUGAUUUAAGAUUCCCUUUCCAAACUAGAAAUCAGUACCUGCGAUGAAACCCGGGGAUUCUAAUAAACUGAUGGGGGCGGGGGGGAGGGGGAAUCUGGAGAGUCAACUUUCCGGACACAGAAGCUGGUGCACCGCACAUCUGAAAGGUCUAAAGGUAGUAGUGAUUCCUGUGCUUCUUUUAUCUUUGAUCGCCAGGUGAAAGAUGAAGCAUAUCCGAUUUACAGCCCAAGCCACCACAAUAUGUGGUCUCACGGGGACACUGGUCUGACGGGAACGGGACAUUCAGGCGCUAGGACCCAGCCUCCUUCAAGACCUCUCCAGGACCUCUCCCUCCAGGACCUCUCUCCUCUCAGACCUCCUUCAGAGCAUCAACCCCAUUCAGACCUCCUUCAGAGCAUCCUCCCUUCAGACCUCCUUCAGAGCCAGCCUCUUCAGUCCUCCUUCAGAGCAACCUCCUCAGUCCUCCUUCAGAGCAACCUCCUUCAAGACCUCUCCAGGAGCUCUCCCUCCAGGACCUCUCUCCUCUCAGACCUCCUUCAGAGCAUCAACCCCUUCAGACCUCCUUCAGAGCAAAACCUCCUGAGUUCUCCUCCAGAGCAACCUCCUCCUCAGUCCUCAGACCCCGCUAUCUUUAAGCCAACAAUCUAAGUUCCCUCCCCUCAGUUCUCACAUCUACCAAUCACUGUCGAUGUCUCCCCUGUGCCAAUGGUGGCUCUAGCUUAACCCAGGACUGCCCAGAGGUCUGCCCCCUUUGCACAUGUUUGUUGAAGGUCAUAUUCACAAAUAAUUAAAUCUUGAUCUUUGCUGCAGCCCUUCCUAAAUCCUGUUACUCUGAGUAGGGUGGAGAUUGUAGUUUCCAAGACCUGGUUCUGUCAUUCCAAGUAUCUCUAUUGUAUCAAUUCUAAAAUCAAUCAUGACUCAAAGAAUUUCCUGUUCUAUGUUUAAGCAUAGGUCAAAGCCCUUUCCAUUGUUUAGCAAAAGGUUUCUGUCCUAAAGUAGUCUUAAGUAGGGAGGAGAAGGAUCCUCCCAUGCCAAGGAGUUUCAUAUUCCAAUAGAGUUCUUACUAUCAGUAGGAAAUUUUUUCAAGUAUGAAAUUUCUCAAUGGGGAAAUUUCCAACAUUCAUAAGUCUAAGAAAUUUUAAGGUUUGCAUAUAGUAUGUCCAUACACAAUAUUUAUAGUUAUAUAUCAUGUAUCUAUAUACAGUAUUUACUCUGUAUCAUACAUCUAUACAUAGUAUUUAUAGCACUAUCUCAUGUAUCAAUACACUUCUGACCACUCUUCAGGUUCUGUUCAUUCUGUUUCCAUGAUGUCUUUCAAAGCUGUGCCCUUCUUUCCAGGCUCACGGCUGUGACCUAUUAGCUCCUCCUUAUCAUUUACUUCGACUAUUACAUAUAUUCUGCUCAAUUAGUCUUUUUUCUCUGCCUCCAUUAUCUCCCUUUUCCAAGUGUUCUUAGAGAAUAAUUGUCCUAAAGCAUCUUUCAUUCAGAAAUCUCCCAUGACUCUUCACUGCAACAAGGACCUUCAGCUGCCACUCAAGGUCCUUCAUAAUCUAGUCUCUCUCCCCAUUUCACCCCUCCCCCCCAGCUUUAUCUUACACUUCUGCAAGGAUAGUAUAGGAAUAGGGCCAGGGAGGGGACUUGAGAUUUCAAGCUAUAUAGAUACUGGGGAUAAACAAAGGAAAACAAAGCCAGUAAAUUGCUCUUGUGGAAUUUCCAAUCCAGGAAGGAAAGUAAGAUAUAAAUACAGGUCAGCUAGGUGGUUCAGGUAGAUAGAAACACCUAGACCUAGAGAUGGGGCAUCAAGAUAUUGUGUGACUCUGGGCAAGUCACUUCAUUCCAGUGGUCUAGUCCUUACCACUCUUCUACUUUGUAACUGAUAUUGAUUUUAAGAUAAAAAGUAAGGGUUUGUUGGGUUUUUUUAAGUGAUAGUCUCUACCUGAAAGGAGCUUAUCCUCUCCUAGUUUGUACUACUUUACGUUACAUCAAUUACAUUUUUUCUUAUUAGGCUAAUCCCAUUAUUAGCUUGUUGAGAUCUUUAAAAAACAUGUCUGUCCUUUAAGAUAACAUGUUAGUUCUCUCUUCCACCGUUUUUGUCAUUUGCAAAUUUGAUAAGCUUGUCUUUGUUUUUUUUUUUAGUGAAAAUAACAAUAAAGAACAUGCCUAUAUCA